UAUCAAAACCCACAGAAUGAACAACACCAAGAAUGAAUCCUAGUGUAAACAACAGGUUUUGUGUGAUAAUGAUGUGUUCAUGAAAGCCAAUGUGGAAUCAUGGAAAGAACACAGAUGUGAAGCCUGGUUCCAGCCUUGAGUCAAGCACUUCACCACCUGGGUGGUCCUGGACGUGUCAAUUCCCUCUCCUGGGUCCCAUUUUCUUCUACUGAAGCAUGAAGGAGCCACACUGGACUAAACAUGACUAAACAUGAGCCCCACAAAAUGAAAUGCUGAAAAAAAGUUGAUUUGUGGUCGAAUAACUGUGAUGAGAAAAAAUACAGGACAUCCGGUCCUCAAUAGAGACUAGAAUAACCAACCUGGUAAGCCAUCCAGUAGAUAAAAACUUGUCAAGCAGGAAAGAAUAUUGUUAGAUGUUGGGACUACAAACUAAACACCAAAGAGUAGAAAAAGUAAAGGCAAGAAACCAA
Molecule: long non-coding RNA, 470 nt
Organism: Equus asinus (donkey)
Lineage: Eukaryota; Metazoa; Chordata; Mammalia; Perissodactyla; Equidae
Source: Ensembl